GACGAACGCUGGCGGCGUGCCUAAUACAUGCAAGUAGAACGCUGAAGAGAGGAGCUUGCUCUUCUUGGAUGAGUUGCGAACGGGUGAGUAACGCGUAGGUAACCUGCCUGGUAGCGGGGGAUAACUAUUGGAAACGAUAGCUAAUACCGCAUAAAAUUGAUUAUUGCAUGAUAAUUAAUUGAAAGAUGCAAUUGCAUCACUACCAGAUGGACCUGCGUUGUAUUAGCUAGUUGGUGAGGCAACGGCUCACCAAGGCGACGAUACAUAGCCGACCUGAGAGGGUGAUCGGCCACACUGGGACUGAGACACGGCCCAGACUCCUACGGGAGGCAGCAGUAGGGAAUCUUCGGCAAUGGGGGGAACCCUGACCGAGCAACGCCGCGUGAGUGAAGAAGGUUUUCGGAUCGUAAAGCUCUGUUGUAAGAGAAGAACGGGUGUGAGAGUGGAAAGUUCACACUGUGACGGUAUCUUACCAGAAAGGACGG
RNAcentral lists this ribosomal RNA (485 nucleotides) under Streptococcus sanguinis. RNAcentral describes it as "bacterial SSU rRNA". It matches the Rfam family "Bacterial small subunit ribosomal RNA", at positions 28 to 495 of the family's 1533-position model. Lineage: Bacteria; Bacillati; Bacillota; Bacilli; Lactobacillales; Streptococcaceae. The record is from RNAcentral.